Molecule: ribosomal RNA, 249 nt
Filed under: uncultured Eubacteriales bacterium
Lineage: Bacteria; Bacillati; Bacillota; Clostridia; Eubacteriales
Description: uncultured Clostridiales bacterium partial 16S ribosomal RNA
Rfam family: Bacterial small subunit ribosomal RNA
Source: RNAcentral
AAAGUGGAUUAGCGGCGGACGGGUGAGUAACACGUGAGUAACCUGCCUUAGACAUUGGGAUAGCCUCGGAAACCGGGAUUAAUACCAAAUAAAAUCAUAAUGACACAUGUCAUAACGAUCAAAACUCCGGUGGUCUAAGAUGGACUCGCGUCCCAUUAGCUAGUUGGUAGAGUAAAAGCCUACCAAGGCGACGAUGGGUAGCCGGCCUGAGAGGGUGAACGGCCACAUUGGAACUGAGAAACGGUCCAA